Molecule: long non-coding RNA, 757 nt
Organism: Hemibagrus wyckioides
Lineage: Eukaryota; Metazoa; Chordata; Actinopteri; Siluriformes; Bagridae
Exons: 3
Source: RefSeq, a predicted model, not a curated record
UGCUGUUUGACAGGUUUGAUGUUUUGUAAGUUAAUUAGUUAAUUGACAGUUUGAGGUAUGUUAGGUCAGCUGCUGCUGCAUAUAAUGGCUGAUCCAUUCCGCUUUGAGUUCAUCCUUCUCCCUCUUCGUUUUUGCUGGUCUAGCUCAAGUAAAGACAGAGCUAAAAAAUCUGCUCACCACAUAGCUGGGACAAUACUUUGGGGCAAUGCAGCGAUCCAGCAAAACUGCAUGAAGUGCAAUGAAAUGAAGGGCCUCGAUCAUAAUAUGGACCAUCAAGUAGAUUUCCAAGAGUUUAUCACCGUGGUGACCUACAUUACCGUACUGUACAAUGACGUGCUUACACAGGCUGUGAAGAAAUAAAUGGGCAAUGCAAACAGUACAUAACACACACACCAAUAAUAUAUACAUAUAUUGGUUGUUUAAUACACAGAAAGACAUGUUUGGCAUCUUACAAUGAUAAAUGCAUGAGGCAAAAAAAAAACAUUUGAAAUAAACUUAAUAUGUUUUAAAGAUUGAUGGUGAUCUUGUUUAAAAUGUGUGUGGAUGUUGUUUGUUUGUUGUGUUUGUAUUUCCAGAGGUAGCAAACAGAAGAACAGCAAAUCAAGGGCAUAUUUUAAAUAAAACAUUUGAACAUAAUCACUGAGAGACGCCGAAACUGCUCCACUGAUGGACAUAAAUCAAUAUAUUGGUUUGUAAUAAUAAUUUCCAAAAAUGAGGCCUGCAGAGUGUAGAUUGUAAAGUGGAUCAAAGAUCAGAC